GCCCUCGUAGCUCAGCGGAUUAGAGCACUCCCGUCCUAAGGGAGGUGUCGCAGGUUCAAUUCCUGCCGAGGGCA
This 74-nucleotide transfer RNA is filed under the name Candidatus Andersenbacteria bacterium CG10_big_fil_rev_8_21_14_0_10_54_11. RNAcentral's name for it is "tRNA-Arg". It matches the Rfam family "tRNA". Rfam says of the family: Transfer RNA (tRNA) molecules are approximately 80 nucleotides in length. Their secondary structure includes four short double-helical elements and three loops (D, anti-codon, and T loops). The record is from RNAcentral. Lineage: Bacteria; Candidatus Anderseniibacteriota.